UGAGACUUUGAAUGUCUGAGUAUCAGAGAAUGUAUUUUUCAAUUCACCUAAAUGUAGCAGAUACUUACAGAGCAUCUACUCUGUGACAGACGUAACUCCUGCCUUCGAGAACUCAUCGUCUGCUAUGAAGGAGAACGUGAGGAUGAGGUCACAGAAAAAUAACUUCAGCACAGGAGGUGGCUCCUGUCUGAAACUGAUGGAAAUAGUGCCAAAGUUAGAACGGUGUCCAAGAAUGGCAAAAAGACCAAGAAACCAUCGGCUUCUUUCAACAGUUUUCAGCUUACAGAUGGGUGAUGAGGCAUGAAGAAGGUGAAGUAUCCAAACUGGAUCCCAAUAUGAACCUGGUUUCAAGUAGAGUUUCUUUAAGACCUGCCACAAGCUUAACCCCCAGCAAGUUACUUCAUCUCCCAUUCCUGGGCAUUUGCAAGCACCGAACCGGAGCCCACGGGAGCAGGAGAGGAGCAGAAGGGCCAUUAUUUGGUUGUGGCCUCCUGGUUAUCAAGGGCCUCACAUACGGCCUUUUGGCAUUAUCUCCAGAUAAGCCUAUACAUGCAGUCAUUAUAUUAGUGCAUGCAUGUCAAGAGCUUUGGUUUAUUAAAAGAUCUUUAAAACACACCACAAUUAAAGUUUUUGUAACUGUUCUGGCAUGUCUCCAUUUCAAAACAUAUGUUCAGAGCGUCAA
Molecule: long non-coding RNA, 682 nt
Organism: Camelus dromedarius (Arabian camel)
Lineage: Eukaryota; Metazoa; Chordata; Mammalia; Artiodactyla; Camelidae
Exons: 3
Source: RefSeq, a predicted model, not a curated record